RNAcentral lists this ribosomal RNA (468 nucleotides) under uncultured bacterium. RNAcentral describes it as "partial 16S ribosomal RNA". It matches the Rfam family "Bacterial small subunit ribosomal RNA", at positions 28 to 507 of the family's 1533-position model. The record is from RNAcentral.
GACGAACGCUGGCGGCGUGCUUAACACAUGCAAGUCGAACGGAAAGGCCCUGCUUUUGUGGGGUGCUCGAGUGGCGAACGGGUGAGUAACACGUGAGUAACCUGCCCUUGACUUUGGGAUAACUUCCGGAAACGGGGGCUAAUACCGGAUAGGAGCUCCUCCUGCCUGGUGGGGGUGGGAAAGUUUCGGCGGUUGGGGCUGGUCUCGCGGCUUGUCAGCUGGUUGGUGGGGUAGUGGCUUACCGGGGCUUCGACGGGUAGCCGGCCGGCGAGGGUGAGCGGCCACAUUGGGACUGAGAUACGGCCCAGACUCCUACGGGAGGCAGCAGUGGGGAAUGUUGCAGAAUGGGCGGAAGCCGGAUGCAGCAACGCCGCGUGCUGGAUGACGGCCUUCGGGUUGGAACCCGCUUUCGCCUGUGACGAAGCGGGAGUGACGGUAAUGGGUAAAGAAGCACCGGCUAACUACGUG